Molecule: ribosomal RNA, 496 nt
Filed under: uncultured bacterium
Lineage: Bacteria
Description: partial 16S ribosomal RNA
Rfam family: Bacterial small subunit ribosomal RNA
Source: RNAcentral
GAUGAACGCUAGCGGCAGGCCUAAUACAUGCAAGUCGAGGGGUAGAAGAGGCUUGCUUCUUUGAGACCGGCGCACGGGUGCGUAACGCGUAUGCAACCUACCUUCAUCUGGGGGAUAGCCCGGAGAAAUCCGGAUUAAUACCGCAUAAAAUCACAGGAGGGCAUUAUCGAAUGAUCAAACAUUUAUGGGAUGGAGAUGGGCAUGCGUGUCAUUAGCUAGUUGGCGGGGUAACGGCCAACCAAGGAGACGAAGACUAGGGGAUCUGAGAGGAUGGCCCACCACAAUGGUACUGAGACACGGACCAGACUCCUACGGAAGGCAGCAGUAAGGAAUAUUGGUCAAUGGAGGCAACUCUGAACAAGCCAUGCCGCGUGCAGGAAGACUGCCAUAUGGGUUGUAAACUGCUUUUAUUCGGGAAUAAACCUUAUUACGUGUAAUAAGCUGAAUGUACCGAAGGAAUAAGGAUCGGCUAACUCCGUGCCAGCAGCCGCCGUAA